GACGAACGCUGGCGGCGUGCUUAACACAUGCAAGUCGAACGGAAAGGCCCUGCUUGCAGGGUACUCGAGUGGCGAACGGGGGAGUAACACGUGGGUGUUCUGCCCUGCACUUCGGGAUAAGCCUUGGAAACUGUGUCUAUUACCGGAGAGGAGCGCUUCUUAUUGAGGUGGUUGGAUAGUUUUUUGGGUGUGGGGGGGGCUCGCGGGCUGUCAGUUUGUUGGUGGGGUGAUGGCCUACCAAGGCGGCGGCGGGUGGCCGGCCUGAGAGGGUGGACGGCCACAAUGGGAAUGGGAUAACGCCCAGACCCCUACCGGAGGGCGGAGGGGGGGAUGUUGCCCCAUGGGGGCGAGGCCGAUGGAAGGAAGCCGCGUGGGGGAUGACGGCCUUCGGGUUGUAAACUCCUUUCGCUAGGGACGAAGCUUUUUGUGACGGUACCUAGAUAAGAAGCACCGGCUAACUACGUG
RNAcentral lists this ribosomal RNA (465 nucleotides) under uncultured bacterium. RNAcentral describes it as "partial 16S ribosomal RNA". It matches the Rfam family "Bacterial small subunit ribosomal RNA", at positions 28 to 507 of the family's 1533-position model. The record is from RNAcentral.